GUUUCUUCAAGUUGAAACUCAAAUAUCCCCUUUUAAUUGGAAGCCAUUAUUUGGUUUUAUCACCAGAAACAACAUUUGCUGCUGAUGCAGGAGCUAGAGGAAGGAAAAUUUUCUUUACCUACUGCUGCUGCCAGCAUCCCUGAGGAACAAAACUGACGGUGGGAACUAUGGCAUAGGGAGCUGGUCAGGAUUCACCUCUCCCUGACAGCACCACGUCCUGCUCAGCACAGGUGGAAAUGCUCUGGAUGGAGUAGGAACAGUGAGGGACAGUGAGAGGCAGUGAGGGGCAACCCUGUUGCAGCUGCAGCAUUGGGGCAGAGGCACCAAUGCUGCUCCAGAACACCCCAACAUGAUUUGCAUGAGGUCUAGCAUUCCUGAAAAACAAAGAAAAGAUAAAGAUUUGUGAGGAACCAAUUACCCAAGGCAGCACAACUAGCUGUGACAGCUGAAUUCAAUGCAUGAGCUACCCUUAGAAAGCACCGCUUGAUCUUCUGAUAGAAAGUGCUACAGUUAAAUAGAGAGGCCAGAGCCUGUAGAUUAAAAUGGGGAAAAAUGAUGAAGAUAAUUCAUAUGGAACAUGGCUUUUGCGGAUAAAAGCUUCCCAACAGAAGAGAGGAAGAUCAUUACUGUAUAUUUAUAUGGA
Vidua chalybeata is the source of this 643-nucleotide long non-coding RNA. RefSeq lists it as uncharacterized. The transcript is spliced from 3 exons. NCBI's taxonomy places the organism in Eukaryota, Metazoa, Chordata, Aves, Passeriformes, Viduidae. The record is from RefSeq and is a predicted model, not a curated record.